Molecule: ribosomal RNA, 479 nt
Filed under: uncultured Flavobacterium sp.
Lineage: Bacteria; Pseudomonadati; Bacteroidota; Flavobacteriia; Flavobacteriales; Flavobacteriaceae
Description: bacterial SSU rRNA
Rfam family: Bacterial small subunit ribosomal RNA
Source: RNAcentral
GAGUUUGAUCCUGGCUCAGGAUGAACGCUAGCGGCAGGCUUAACACAUGCAAGUCGAGGGGUAUAGGCUUUCGGGCCUAGAGACCGGCGCACGGGUGCGUAACGCGUAUGCAAUCUGCCUUACACUAAGGGAUAGCCCAGAGAAAUUUGGAUUAAUACCUUAUGGUAUCUUACUAUGGCAUCAUAGUAUUAUUAAAGAUUUAUCGGUGUAAGAUGAGCAUGUGUCCCAUUAGCUAGUUGGUGUGGUAACGGCAUACCAAGGCAAUGAUGGGUAGGGGUCCUGAGAGGGAGAUCCCCCACACUGGUACUGAGACACGGACCAGACUCCUACGGGAGGCAGCAGUGAGGAAUAUUGGACAAUGGGCGCAAGCCUGAUCCAGCCAUGCCGCGUGCAGGAUGACGGUCCUAUGGAUUGUAAACUGCUUUUGUACGGGAAGAAACACUCCUACGUGUAGGGGCUUGACGGUACCGUAAGAAUAA